RNAcentral lists this small nuclear RNA (23 nucleotides) under Arabidopsis thaliana (thale cress). RNAcentral's name for it is "snRNA_12964". Lineage: Eukaryota; Viridiplantae; Streptophyta; Magnoliopsida; Brassicales; Brassicaceae. The record is from RNAcentral.
UACGAUAAGUCCGCCUUAACGUU